CNNNNUNACUCGGAGACGCUGGCGGCGUGCUUAACACAUGCAAGUCGAGCGAAGGAAGGCUAGCUUGGUUUUCUUUCCUUGGACGGGGGAGGGAGAGUUGCACGUGCUGACUUUACCAUGGGGAGGGGAAUCACAAGGGAAAAUUAAUGCUAAUACCUAUGAUUUCUCAGCCUGCGAAUGACGUAAUGGGUAAAGGAGAAUUCCGCAUGAGCAUGGGCCGGCGUCCCUUUUUGGAGUGGGUGGGAUAACCCCCCGCGAGGCGACUAUGGGACCCGACCUGAGAGGGUGAACGUUGGGUUGAAACUGAGACAAGAUCCAUACUCCUACGGGAGGUGGGGAGGGGGAUAUUGGGGGAUGGGGCGGACCCUGAUGCCCCCACGGCGUGUGGACGGUCUUCGGGUUCGGAAUGUCUGGCUCUGUCGUCGCUGACGAAAAUGACCGGAAGAGGAAGAGGAAGCCAACGCUAAGUCCGUGCCCGCGGCCGUAGUAAUACGGAGGUGGGGAUCGUUGUUUACAAUUACUGGGCGUAAAGGGUGCGGAAGUUUUUUUUUUAAUGGGGAAGUGAAAUCCCUUAAGCUUAACAAUUGCAAUUGCAUUCCGAAAUUCUAAAGCUAGAGGACAGGAAAACGAAAACUCCUAUUCCCAGCGGUAGAAGUGAAUAUGCGAUAUAAGAAUGAACAGCAACACGCGAAGGCGGAGUUCGGUUUCUGUGACUGUAACUGACGCUGAGGAGCGAGAGCGAGGGGAAACAGACAAGAUUACAUACCCUGCUCGUCCGCCAACCUAUAGCGAAGAAUAUGUAGGGGUGUGGGGAUAUCUCUUCUGUNCNCACACAACAAAUAAACCGUCCUGGCGAGGGCAGGUCGCACGAUAGAAUUNNACUCAAUGGACUGACGGNNGGGCNGNUAANNAACGNNNNUGUGAUUUCUAUUNNUCGCNACNNANNNAAC
RNAcentral lists this ribosomal RNA (950 nucleotides) under uncultured Clostridium sp. Its description in RNAcentral is "partial 16S ribosomal RNA". The stretch from base 1 to 849 matches the Rfam family "Bacterial small subunit ribosomal RNA", at positions 15 to 873 of the family's 1533-position model. The record is from RNAcentral. Lineage: Bacteria; Bacillati; Bacillota; Clostridia; Eubacteriales; Clostridiaceae.